This 467-nucleotide ribosomal RNA is filed under the name uncultured bacterium. Its description in RNAcentral is "partial 16S ribosomal RNA". It matches the Rfam family "Bacterial small subunit ribosomal RNA", at positions 28 to 507 of the family's 1533-position model. The record is from RNAcentral.
GACGAACGCUGGCGGCGUGCUUAACACAUGCAAGUCAGGGGGCGGGGUAACCCGUCACCGGCGAACGGGUGCGGAACACGUGAGCGACCUGCCCUGGUGUGGUGGAUAGCCGGCCCAACGGCCUGGUAAUACCGCAUACGGCGCCCGCUUGGAAGCGGGAGGCGAAACUCGCAAGAGGCGCUAGGAGGGGCUCGCGGCCUAUCAGCUAGUUGUUGCGGUAUCGGCGCACCAAGGGGAUGACGGGUAGCUGGUCUGAGAGGAGGGCCAGCCACAUUGGGACUGAGAGAGGGCCCAGAAUACGACGGGAGGCAGCAGGGGGGAAAAUUGCGCAAUGGGUGAAAGAAUGAGGCAGCGACGGCGCGUGGAGGAUGAGGCGCGUCGGGGUGUAAACUCGUGUUGAACGGGACGAAGGCCCCGAAGAGGCGGGGUUGACGGUACCGGGUGAGGAAGCACCGGCUAACUAUGUG